ACAGAGGGUGCGAGCGUUGUUCGGAAUUAUUGGGCGUAAAGGGCGCGUAGGCGGUGCGGUAAGUCUCCUGUGAAAUCUCCGGGCUCAACUCGGAGCGGUCAGGGGAAACUGCCGUGCCUGAGUGUGGGAGAGGUGCGUGGAAUUCCCGGUGUAGCGGUGAAAUGCGUAGAUAUCAGGAGGAACACCUGUGGUGUAGACAGCUUACUGGACCAUUUCUGACGCUGAGACACGAAAGCGUGGGUAGCAAACAGGA
This 253-nucleotide ribosomal RNA is filed under the name uncultured prokaryote. Its description in RNAcentral is "partial 16S ribosomal RNA". It matches the Rfam family "Bacterial small subunit ribosomal RNA", at positions 525 to 777 of the family's 1533-position model. The record is from RNAcentral.